AUGAUGGAUCUAACACAUAGACAAUGCUCAAUACAUCUUACAUUCCUCCUUUCCUCACUUUAUUCCCUAUCCUAUGUGUCAGCAUUGCUGACUUGCAUGAAACACCUUGCAUCUCUUCUGGGAUUCCAUUCAUAUAUUUCCUCUAAAAGUAACUCUCUUUUUUCUGUUGGAAAACUCUUUCUCGUUCUUGAAGCUGAAGCUGAAGGUCAUGUCUUUUGUAAAGCACCCCUUCAUACCCAGGACAAAGACAACUCCAGGAAGGACAUUGGUAGACUCAACGUCCAGGGAACCUAUGAAUCUUCUAUCCCAAUCCUUCUGCCCCCAAACACUUCACCCUGAAAUACAGCCCAGAGCAUGCACUCAGUGAGUCCCACUGAAGAAGAGACGGAAGGCAGAACUGAACAAGAUGUGUCCAGAAGAGGUAGCCGUAGAUCAUGGACAUGACCAAAAGAAGCUUACUUUAUUUUCAAGUAAGUUCCCAAGCCAUUAUGUCUUAGCCUGAUUUUCUUGUGGGUGCACGUAAUGCUGAUGAUGUGAAGUUUAACCAUUAAAUGAUCCAUUAUAAUAGAUUAAAUUUAAAUGACCAUUAAAAUGCCAUGCAGUUUUAAAAUAAAAUCAUUAAUAUUUAUACCUAAUGUUGGCCAGAAAAAAAUACUAAGUGAGAAAUAAUAAUGUAAGCUAACAAUUUAGGGGAGUUUACUAUGUGUCCAGCACUAUUCUAGGUGUUAUUAUCACAAUCCAAUGGGGAGGUAUAGUUAUUUCUCCAUUUACAAUAAGGGAACUGAGGUAGAGAGAGGAGUCAAGUAAGUUUCCAGAGCUCAUGGAGCGAGUAGGUAGUGGAGGUGGGUUUCAAGUAUCAGCAGUUUAGCUCCCGAGUCUGCCAUCUUAAAUCCAUGCAGCCUCUUCAAAAAUUAAUAAAAAGCAUUUCUUUUUGAGAUGGAGUCUCGCUCUGUCACCCAGGCUGCGGUGCAAUGGCGUGAUCUCGGUUCACUACAACCUCCGCCCCCCGGGUUCAAGUGAAUGGCCUGCCUCAGCCUCCUGAGUAGCUAAAUUUUGAUAUAGUAGUAUAAAUGCAAUGCUAUCAAAUUAAUUUCUUAUUUAUGCAUAACUGCCUAGAAGCAUAUCAUGAUGUAGGUACCAAAUAAGCUACUGCAUUUGUAAUUUUAUUGAAUAACAAAAUCCAUAUUUCAAUAACCAGUGUUCAUGAUUCGAAGUUGAUGCUACACACUUUCUUAGCUCAGCCAGCCUUCAUGUUUCACAUUUUAUAAUUACUAAAAUUAAUGAAUAAAAAUCAUUGGUUAAUGGUUUCUUAAAAAUAAAACUUAAAACUCUGGCAUUUCUGAUUCCAGAUGUUUUCUUUCUUCAUGGUCACAAAACCAUGCCCUAGGACAUGCUUAAUAUAUUGUUCAGCUUCUGGACAGGGGUGAAGAUCUUUCCCCUAAGUAUUGAAAAACUUGUAACUUUAAAUGACUGUGCAGGGGUACAGAAUUAUGCCUGAGGGAUUCCAUAUAGUUUUAAGGAAGACUACUGAGGUAGCCUUAAAAAUAAUAGCUAAAUUAUAUUUAGUGUUUCUUAUGUACCAGGGACUGUUCUAAAUUAUCUUUAAAUUCUCUAAAAAUUCUAAGAAAUAGGUACCAGUGUUAUCCCCAUUUUACAGAUGGGGAAAUUGAGGCAAGGAGAAGUAAUUUGCCCAAUGUCGUACAAGAAUGGCAAAGUCAGGAAAAGCAUUGGAACACAGUCUUUGCUCCAACCACUGUGUGUGCUGCUUCACUAUGCUGCAUGACAAACUUUUUGUAGUCAGAAAAACUUUUUACUCCAAGACAUUUCAUUAGUUAAACAAAUGGCCAAAGUUAGAUCUCAGAAUCUGGGAGUCUUUAUUCUCUGGAGUAACUUUCAGCAUCCCAGUAUCAUCCAUUGGCAAGCAACCAGCAUUUUACACAAUCUUCCAGGAGACUCUGAAUAUUAAAACAUGAAGCUUUGCAUUUGGUAAAAUUUUAAAUGUCUAAUUUCUCCCUCUCUUGGAGUGAAUCACAGGUUGAUAGACUACUGAUAUUCCGAGGUAUUUUUUCAUCAAUUUUAUUGCAAUUAAGGAGUCCAUGGUAAAGUGUUCAGAUUCAGAAAAUGUCUUUAAAUCAAAUAUCAUUCGUAUGGGAAAUAUUCGUAGGCACACAUCUUUAAUUUUGAUAAAAAGAUGUAGGCUUCAGUGGGGUGCAGUGGGAAUGAACCAGGGUAAUCCAUAAAGACUCCAUGCUUGAUACCCUAAAAGUAGCCAUCCUUUCAGUGAGGAGAAGCAACUCCCCCUAACUUCUUACUUUAUUCUCCCUCUCAACUUCAUCUGGCUGUUAAUCUCACCCUACUCCUGGUCUUUAAUCUUGUUCUAGCAUGGGAGUGGAAAAAGUAAUCUUUGUUAGUACAAAGUCCCAAAACCCCACAACAACAGGAGUUCUGUGGACAAUGUGAGGAACUGGGAAUUCUUGGAAAGAUGGGAAAAAAGUAGGACGUUUUUAGGAUGAAUAAGAUGCAACCAUUUACAUGGUUUCAAGUUAGUGGAUGAGGAGACAAAAAUUUUUUUAAGCUAAAAAAGCAGAUUAGUUAAAAAUGGAUGUAAAAAGAAAAAAUGAACAGAACGAUCAUGAGAAAAAAAGAGGAGAAAUAUUGCAGGAGGACGAUUCAAUAUAAAAACUAUGGAAAACUGAGAGAAGAGGAUUAAAGUACAACACAAAAGAUUCAAAAGAGGAAAGAUUUUCAGUCAUAGGCAUCUAAUGUUUCAAAGUUGAUUUCUGCAUGUGCAGGAGAGCUAGAUGACUGAGGACUGUACGGUAUGUAAGACACCCUCUGUUACAAAGAUUCUCAUCCUCUUAAGUUGGCCACAGAAACAUAAUUAAUGGGCUUGCUGCACCUCUGAGACACAUUUUGUCUCAUUCAUAUUUGCGCAAAAGCUAGAAAAAAUAUAUUGGCAAGGACUUCUUAGAGCUUCGUGCUUACUGUGUGUUUGUGCAGGUUAAGAAGGCUGUCUCUGGGGUCUCGCACAGAAACCUGGGUGAAAGCAGCUACUGGGAAUUUGGCCAAGAGCAAGGUUCAUAAGGUUCCAGUGUAGGACAUGGGAUCUAUGCUAUUCUACUUGAUUAGUGCAAUCAAGGAGGUUACCAAGAAAGUUUGCAUUUAUAGAUCUCUGUUGGUGUCAUUUGACACUAUUUUAUUGGGGUUCUUAUUUGAGUGUUUUUAUCUGUGAUGAGGUAUAAAGUAUGUAUUUCAUAUAUGAAUUUUCAUCUAGGUAAGUUCAUCCUUAUAUAAGCAAAGCCAGCUAACCCAGAACAUUUUUCUUGUCCUUGGCUAGUUUAUGAUACUAUUUGUGUUAGUUAUCUCAUUCUAACUAUAGACUGGGUGGGUUAAACAACAGAAAUGAAUUUCUUCACAGUUGUGGUGGCUGGAAGUCUGAGAUCAGGGUGCCAGCAUGGUCAAGGGCUGGUAAGGACUCUCUUCCUGGCUUAUGGAUGACUGCCAUCUCUCUCUGGUGUCUCUUCUUUUAAAAGCAUUAAUUCCAUCAUGAGGGCCCCCUUAUGACCGCAGCUAAACCUAAUUACUUCCCAAAGGCUCCAUCUCCAAAAGCCAUCAUAGUGGCAGUUAGGGCUUCACCAUGUGAAUUUGGAGGAACACAAUUUCAGUCCAUAGCUCUACUCUUAGGAGUGUCAUCUCCCUCCCUGCCCUAUCAUGUCCAUAAAACUUACUGAAUGAAGGUGCGGUAGUUAUUCACUAUUAUAUUAUUCGGAAUGGUAGGACUACAGACAGACUCGAGGACAAUGUUUUCUUUGAACCAAGAAAUAUUUAUAGAGUCAAAAAGUGCAAGCUCUGCCCUUGAAGAGUGAGUUCUGCCAUGUCAGCAAGAGUCCAAGCAGUAUUUGCCUUCCAAUGUAUCUCAAAACAUUUUUUUUCUUUUUAUUCUGUGCUAGCAACAAUGGUUUACACAGAACUUUGUAUUUUGUUGCAUUUUAUUUGGAGCAUUACAAUGCAACAUCAUUGAUAAAUCUCUGAGGAUAGUUGACCUUUGAGGUCAUUGAUGGGAAUAUUCUAUGAGUCAAUAAAUUAAUAGAAUACCAGGCCGGGCAUGGUGGCUCACGCUUGUAAUCCUAGCACUUAGGGAGGCUAAGGCGGGAAGAUCACAAGGUCAGGAGAUUGAGACCAUCCUGGCCAAAAUGGUGAAACCCCGUCUCUACUAAAAAUACAAAAAAAUUAGCUGGGCACGGUGGCACACGCCUGUAGUCCCAGCUACUCAGGAGACUGAGGUAGGAGAAUCGCUUGAACUCGGGAGGCGGAGCUUGCAGUGAGCCAAGAUUGCACUACUGCACUUCAGCUUGGUAACAGAGCAAGACUCCAUCUCAAAAAAAAAAAAAAAAAAUUAAUAGAAUAUCUGUUAUAAUGAGCUUGGUAUUAUGAAGUAUGUUUUCCUCAAUACUAUUACUGCAAUUACUCAAUAGUUCUAAUUUUGCUAUUGUACACUAGAGCAGUCUUAUUCACUAAACUGCUUUUUGAAACUUUUUACCAUAUUAUAGGCA
RNAcentral lists this long non-coding RNA (4553 nucleotides) under Pan troglodytes (chimpanzee). RNAcentral describes it as "lncRNA (ENSPTRG00000053741.1)". Lineage: Eukaryota; Metazoa; Chordata; Mammalia; Primates; Hominidae. The record is from RNAcentral.